AUCCAGCUGAUUAGUCCCAAAUAGGAUGAAACGCGCAUCCUGGAU
Molecule: non-coding RNA, 45 nt
Filed under: Schistosoma margrebowiei
Lineage: Eukaryota; Metazoa; Platyhelminthes; Trematoda; Strigeidida; Schistosomatidae
Source: RNAcentral